RNAcentral lists this ribosomal RNA (584 nucleotides) under Phanerochaete sp. KUC9015. Its description in RNAcentral is "LSU rRNA". It matches the Rfam family "Eukaryotic large subunit ribosomal RNA", at positions 66 to 634 of the family's 3401-position model. The record is from RNAcentral. Lineage: Eukaryota; Fungi; Basidiomycota; Agaricomycetes; Polyporales; Phanerochaetaceae.
UAACAAGGAUUCCCCUAGUAACUGCGAGUGAACCGGGAAAAGCUCAAAUUUAAAAUCUGGCAGUCUUCGGCUGUCCGAGUUGUAAUCUGGAGAAGCGUCUUCCGCGCUGGACCGUGUACAAGUCUCCUGGAACGGAGCGUCAUAGAGGGUGAGAAUCCCGUCUUUGACACGGACUACCAGUGCUCUGUGAUGCGCUCUCAAAGAGUCGAGUUGUUUGGGAAUGCAGCUCAAAAUGGGUGGUAAACUCCAUCUAAAGCUAAAUAUUGGCGAGAGACCGAUAGCGAACAAGUACCGUGAGGGAAAGAUGAAAAGCACUUUGGAAAGAGAGUUAAACAGUACGUGAAAUUGCUGAAAGGGAAACGCUUGAAGUCAGUCGCGUUUGCUAGGACUCAGCCUUGCCUCGGCUUGGUGCAUUUCCUAGUAGACGGGCCAGCAUCACUUUUGACUGCGGGAGAAAGGUUGGAGGAAUGUGGCACCUUCGGGUGUGUUAUAGCCUCUAGCUGUAUACCGUGGUUGGGAGUGAGGAACUCAGCACGCCGCAAGGCGGGGCUUCGGCCACCUUCGUGCUUAGGAUGCUGGCGUAA